GAUCAUUGCACACACAAGUGGCAGCCAACCCGCGGCGAACGAACACAUUGUCCCCCCCGGUGGGUCGUGGCGCCUCGCGGCGUCGCGGCCGGCCAACUCCCUUCGUCACGAGCGAGCGAGCUCGCGCGCGGCGUCGGGUUUCCACGCGAUGCCUUCACCUUGAUCGAAUGACUGAGUCCCUGAAUACUUCAAGAGGAGUGACGAGUGCCGUCCCCCUCAGGGUGGUCGGCGCUGGUUACCUCGCGAGUUGAAACAUAACCAAAAACAACUCUCAGCAACGGAUAUCUUGGCUCUUGCAACGAUGAAGAACGCAGCGAAAUGCGAUACGUAGUGUGAAUUGCAGAAUUCCGCGAAUCAUCGAGUCUUUGAACGCAAGUUGCGCCCGAGGCUUGUCCAAGGGCAUUUCCGCUAGAGCGUCACCGCGCCCCCCACCGAUCCACUCCCGCCGGGAGUCGUGUCGAGUGGAAGUGGCCAUCCCGGUGGGCCUUUCUUUUUUGAGGAAGGCCUUAAGGGUUGGCUGAAAUGGAGGGAAUCGGGCCGCCGUGGUGACACAGUCCGCGAUCGGGUGAAUUUUGGGCUGAGUCCUGAAUUUUUCUAAGUGCGUGGCUGUGUCCCCCAGUCGGUCGUUGUGUUACCUCAUGCAGGUCGAGCGCGCCCCCGCGGCGCGCGUCACGCAUCAGA
Molecule: ribosomal RNA, 681 nt
Filed under: Rigodium toxarion
Lineage: Eukaryota; Viridiplantae; Streptophyta; Bryopsida; Hypnales; Lembophyllaceae
Description: eukaryotic LSU rRNA
Rfam family: 5.8S ribosomal RNA (bases 267-419)
Source: RNAcentral